This 74-nucleotide transfer RNA is filed under the name Staphylococcus aureus W52120. Its description in RNAcentral is "tRNA-Cys". It matches the Rfam family "tRNA". Rfam says of the family: Transfer RNA (tRNA) molecules are approximately 80 nucleotides in length. Their secondary structure includes four short double-helical elements and three loops (D, anti-codon, and T loops). The record is from RNAcentral. Lineage: Bacteria; Bacillati; Bacillota; Bacilli; Caryophanales; Staphylococcaceae.
GGCGGCAUAGCCAAGUGGUAAUGCAGAGGUCUGCAAAACCUUUAUCACCGGUUCAAAUCCGGUUGCCGCCUCCA